Molecule: ribosomal RNA, 834 nt
Filed under: Triticum aestivum (bread wheat)
Lineage: Eukaryota; Viridiplantae; Streptophyta; Magnoliopsida; Poales; Poaceae
Description: partial small subunit ribosomal RNA
Source: RNAcentral
AUGGAGCGGCGAUCCACCACCCGCUUCUCGCCCUCCGAGAUUGCGAGGAUGGAGAAGUUGGUUUCAUCAGACAGAAAAGAGCAAGUCUUGGUUGAUAGUUUCUGCCAGAAGCUUGUAGAAGAAUUUAAUCGUUCUCCAGCCCGAGUAGGAAGCAGAGCUCUACAGGCUACACAGGUUCGAGGAUGGUUCCUUGAUAAGCUCCCUGCAUCAACUCCUAAACCUGCUUCCUUGCCUACUACUUCUGAAGAAAAGCCUUUAGCCUCAGAACCAGAUGCGUUAGUUUCUGAGAUAAAGACUUCAGCUUCUGAAGAAAAAGCUUUAGCUCUUGAUACAAGUAUUUCAAACAAUGAGGAUGCACUUUCUCCAGAUUUACCCAAAGAGACUACAGAUAAGGUUCCUGAAUUUGAAGACUUGCAGUUUGAGGCUAAGUCAUCAAAGGAUUCUGCAUGGUAUGACGUGGCCCUUUUCUUGGCACACAGGAAGACAAGUUUGGGAGAAGUUGUAAGGAGAAUAACUGAUGUUGAAGUCCGGGUGAGGUUUAUCGGGUAUGGGGCUGAAGAAGAUGAGUGGGUGAAUGUCAGGAAGGCUGUCCGCCAGCAAUCCAUUCCGCUGGAGUCCUCAGAAUGCCGAAGCAUUGUAAAAGGAGAUCUUGUCCUCUGUUUCAAGGAGAGCAAUGAUGAAGCACUGCACUUCGAUGCACACGUUCUGGAUGUCCAGCGGAAACAGCAUGAUAUAAGGGGAUGCAGAUGCCUCUUCCAUGUUGAAUAUGAUCAUGAUCAGAGCCAGGAGAUGGUGAACCUCAAGAGAAUCUCCCGGCGACCAAGAUACCUUUGA